UGAGGAAUAUUGCGCAAUGGCCGAAAGGCUGACGCAGCGACGCCGCGUGAAGGAUGAAGUCCGUUAGGACGUAAACUUCUUUUGCAGGGGAUGAACAGUCCGUUUUACGGAUUUGACCGUACCCUGCGAAUAAGGAUCGGCUAACUACGUGCCAGCAGCCGCGGUAAUACGUAGGAUCCGAGCGUUGUCCGGAUUUACUGGGUGUAAAGGGCGUGUAGGUGGAUUGGCAAGUCGGUGGUGAAAGCCUGCGGCUCAACCGCAGAAUUGCCCUCGAUACUACCAAUCUUGAGUACGGCAGAGGGAGAUGGAAUUCAUGGUGUAGCGGUGAAAUGUGUAGAUAUCAUGAAGAACACCGGUAGCGAAGGCGGUCUCCUGGUCCGUUACUGACACUGAGGCGCGAAAGCGUGGGGAGCAAACAGG
This 420-nucleotide ribosomal RNA is filed under the name uncultured bacterium. Its description in RNAcentral is "bacterial SSU rRNA". It matches the Rfam family "Bacterial small subunit ribosomal RNA", at positions 355 to 776 of the family's 1533-position model. The record is from RNAcentral.